AUGAAGGAGGAGAAUUACAGAGCAGCGCCAGCGUUGGGGAAACAUGCUCAACUUCCAGCAGUCAUUCCCGCUCGCCUCCUUUCUCUUUGCUCGAGGUCUUCGGUUCAGGCUCCACAACUGAUUGAUGCUGUUUUCCUGUUAGUGUCUCUUUUUCAUCAUGCACGAUCCUCCAUAGUGAUGGAAUGGAGACAGCUUCUCAGAGAAAGCACAGCUUUGGAAGCUUCAGCCAGACACCGUACAAGGGACAGGGGAGACUGAGAUGAAGAAAACUCGGUGCUUCUUCCCAAGGCACUCGCAGUCUCGGAGAAGACAGAUGUGUACUCACACAGAUGCAUAUGCUACAGCACUGUGUGAUGAUGCUAUACAUGCACAAAGUGACCAGGAACAGAGCGGCCAUCCCUGGCGACUCAGGGGAGGCAUCACACGAGAGAUGACUUUAGAACCGGGCCUUUAAAGGAAACACAGGAUCUCUGCAGCAGUCAAGAAGGGGAAGAGAAGACUUGGUAUUAAAAAAUCAUGGGUUCAGGACAUACUGCCCCACAAUAUGGCACUUUGGCAUGUUGAAUAUUUUAAGCUAGAGGAAUUUGAGAAAACAGCAGAAGCAGGAAGGUCCCCUGAGGCGGUCCCCUGAAGUAGUCAUAAGCUUUGGGAAGGACUCUGACCUUCUGAAGCACGUCAUAAGACCCUCGUGUGAGAGUUGCCCUUCCUGUAGCUGGAGGAAAGGGGCAUCCUUAUCUCUCAAGACAAAAGGAGACAGAGAGGAAUCCAGAAAAACAAGCCUUGCUAAGCUUCCCCGGUUCACCACACUUACAUUGCACUCUUUGCCCUGUGAUAUUUUUCCAUGACUUUCCCCUCCUUAUCAAACCUAUUAUUAAAAACACUCCCA
RNAcentral lists this long non-coding RNA (886 nucleotides) under Pan troglodytes (chimpanzee). RNAcentral's name for it is "lncRNA (ENSPTRG00000054404.1)". The record is from RNAcentral. Lineage: Eukaryota; Metazoa; Chordata; Mammalia; Primates; Hominidae.